ACAAGCACUCCCGGCACUUCUGUCUAUAGGAUGGAAGUCGUCACAUUUCAGGGGGGAGUAUCACAAGCUCUCCCGACACUUCUGUCUAUAGGAUGGAAGUCGUCACAUUUCGAGGGGGAGUAUCACAAGCUCUCCCGACACUUCUGUCUAUAGGAUGGAAGUCGUCACAUUUCGAGGGGGAGUAUCACAAGCUCUCCCGACACUUCUGUCUAUAGGAUGGAAGUCGUCACAUAUCGAGGGGGAGUAUCACAAGCUCUCCCGACACUUCUGUCUAUAGGAUGGAAGUCGUCACAUUUCGAGGGGGAGUAUCACAAGCUCUCCCGACACUUCUGUCUAUAGGAUGGAAGUCGUCACAUAUCGAGGGGGAGUAUCACAAGCUCUUCCGACACUUCUGUCUAUAGGAUGGAAGUCGUCACAUUUCGAGGGGGAGUAUCACAAGCUCUCCCGACACUUCUGUCUAUAGGAUGGAAGUCGUCACAUAUCGAGGGGGAGUAUCACAAGCUCUCCCGACACUUCUGUCGCUCUAGCCAGAAGUCGUCAAAGAAAUUGAGCACGGUAAAAUCUGUCGCUUCGGCCAGAUUUACCAAGGACAAAUUUGAGCAAAGGAGGGACACACGAAAGGAUGUUUUCUUUUUUGCAGGAAAGGUUCUA
This 651-nucleotide long non-coding RNA is filed under the name Zostera marina. RNAcentral describes it as "long non-coding RNA (ZMAR_LNC006060)". The record is from RNAcentral. Lineage: Eukaryota; Viridiplantae; Streptophyta; Magnoliopsida; Alismatales; Zosteraceae.